CUAAAGAGCAAAUUGAAUGCUACUUAGCAUUUCUAGAGCUUCACGCUGAAAUGAAGCUCCAGAAAACGAUCCCACGCGACCCAAAAGGUUAGAAGAGCUUUGGGUCGAGCGAAAGGUCCAUCACGUUCGCCUACCAAAUGGAAGGAGUGUUUAAACCAUUGGAAAAACCAGAUUCGCUCAAGGGCAAGAAAGGCGAAUGUAAAUAAAAUAUUGACAGGUGGAGGACCAAUGCAGGAAAUUCAAUCCUCCUAGUUGGAAAAGUGGGCGAUGGAAACACUAGGAAGGACCGUGGUUGAUGGACGGCCUGAUGUCCCAACUAUUGGAAUAGAGAACGAAAUUAUAAUCAAUAUAGUUCCGCAGAGUCCGUCAGUAAGCGAGAUGCCAUCAACUUCACGUUCUUGAAGGCAGACUUCACAAGAAAUGUUUGCUGACAUGAUGGCUACGAUGAAGAGGAGGAGCGAAGAAGAGGCAAAAUUAAGAGAGACAUCGCAACAAUGCUCCCAAAAUGUUGCGGAGUCUUUAAACAAUAUGGCAAAUGCUAUUUUAAAGCUGUCGGAAGCUGUUUUAAAAAAAAAUUGAAAAGAUAUAUGUUUAUGUUAAA
Molecule: long non-coding RNA, 601 nt
Organism: Bactrocera neohumeralis
Lineage: Eukaryota; Metazoa; Arthropoda; Insecta; Diptera; Tephritidae
Exons: 3
Source: RefSeq, a predicted model, not a curated record